Molecule: ribosomal RNA, 253 nt
Filed under: uncultured bacterium
Lineage: Bacteria
Description: partial 16S ribosomal RNA
Rfam family: Bacterial small subunit ribosomal RNA
Source: RNAcentral
UACGUAGGGUGCGAGCGUUAAUCGGAAUAACUGGGCGUAAAGAGUGCGUAGGCGGAUGUAAAAGUUAGAUGUGAAAUACCUGGGCUUAACCUGGGAGGUGCAUUUAAUACUGUAUAUCUAGAGUUAGUAAGAGGAUGGGAGAAUUCCGAGUGUAGCAGUGAAAUGCGUAGAGAUUCGGAGGAAUACCGGUGGCGAAGGCGCCCAUCUGGGAUAUAACUGACGCUGAGGCACGAAAGCGUGGGGAGCAAACAGG